Molecule: long non-coding RNA, 364 nt
Filed under: Brassica napus (rape)
Lineage: Eukaryota; Viridiplantae; Streptophyta; Magnoliopsida; Brassicales; Brassicaceae
Description: long non-coding RNA (BNAP_LNC026082)
Source: RNAcentral
GUGUAAUCGUGUUUUUCAAAUGAUCGAAAAACUUCGUAUUUAUAGAAGAAAAAUCACUGUGCAAAUAGUGACAGUGGGACCCACAUCUUUUAUUAUUUCAACAUAUGUGUGCGCCUCUUUGUUUGAAAUUAAGUUUUCGUAACACUCCCCCUUGGGGACCAGUGUCACUCUCCGCUCUCGCUUAACGUCUUUGUUGCCUCGUUAAAAACCUUUCCAGGAAAAACCCAAUGGGAAAAACCAUAGUAAGGUAAAAAGAGUACAACUACGUAAGCUCCCCCUCGAAUGAACAGUCAUAGAUCCUUCUGAUGGCGCAUCCCAAUGUUAUGGAUGUGUUUUCUGAAUACCGAGGUAGGGAGUGAUUUUG